Molecule: ribosomal RNA, 253 nt
Filed under: uncultured bacterium
Lineage: Bacteria
Description: partial 16S ribosomal RNA
Rfam family: Bacterial small subunit ribosomal RNA
Source: RNAcentral
UACGUAGGUGGCAAGCGUUAUCCGGAAUCAUUGGGCGUAAAGCGCGUGUAGGCGGUUCCGUAAGUCCGCUCUGAAAGCCCAGGGCUCAACCCUGGGAGGCGGGUGGAUACUACGGAACUGGAGUACGGAAGAGGAGAUUGGAAUUCCUGGUGUAGCGGUGAAAUGCGCAGAUAUCAGGAGGAACACCAACAGCGAAGGCAGAUCUCUGGGACGUUACUGACGCUGAGACGCGAAAGCGUGGGUAGCAAACAGG